This 380-nucleotide long non-coding RNA is filed under the name Homo sapiens (human). RNAcentral describes it as "HSALNT0232831". Lineage: Eukaryota; Metazoa; Chordata; Mammalia; Primates; Hominidae. The record is from RNAcentral.
UUUUCUGUUCAGUGUACUUUGGGCAGCCAUGCUGACGGCCUCAGUGGCAAAGGCUCCAUGGGUAGAGAUGGUGAUGCGGAGAUCAACAGCGAGUUCUUGGAUGACCGGAUCAGGGUAUGUGUUGGAUACCUUCUCCAACAGAGGCAACAACUGCUUCAGAACAGCAAAAUCACUUGACUUCAACUACAAAAUGAAAUAAAAAAUGUCAAACCCAAAUUAACAUAGCAAAUUUCAAUAUGACCUGAGCACCAGGAAACAUAUUCUGAGAAAAAAGGGCAGGGAUCAAAUCUUGCUCAUGGUGUAAUCAGUGUAUUGCCUGGGUCCAGCACUGAAUACCAUUUGUUGAAUAAUCAUACCUAACAUUUAUUGAACACUUAUCA